UAAUAUAUCUCUGUGCUAUUGGGAAUAUACAGAAUAUCAGAUUCUCACUUCCUUUAAUUAUAAACACAGACAUUUAUCAAUGUAAAACCUGAACAGAUAACAGAAUGAUGUUCUUUACUGCUGCCUCGUCUAUAUACUGGUUACGACAGCAUGUGACAUGUCGCAAUAGAUUAGAGAAGAUGCGUGAUCUCCUUCUGUUUUUCUCUCUUUAAUAAAAAUGUACAUUAACCCUGUUGCAUAAGUUUACACACCCUUUUCAAAUUGCUAAUGUGGCAGUGUUCAGAAUCGACCAAUCACGUUCAAACUUUUGUUAAAUACCAACUAGAAGAUACCUGCUGUCAAUUAAAGUGACUGAUGGACACCAAAUAAAGUACAGCUGGUCCUGUAGGAUUGUUCAUUUUAGUAACUGGAAAAGCCAUGGGGCUGCAAAGAGCUGACAAAGCAGGUACAGGAUCUCAUUGUUGAGAAGUAUCAAUUAGGAGAGGGUUACAAACAAAUUUCAAGACAUAGAAUAUACCAUGGAACACUGGAAAGACAAUUGUUACGUUCUAUACUUGUGGGUUCGGUGUUUUGUUUGUUCUUUCUCUGUCUCUCUCUUUGCUCCACUAUCUACCUUUUCAGAUCCCUACCAUUGGACAUCUCCUGUCAAUCUUCAUUAUCCUGUGUGACAUCACCCAUCGAUCCACCAAUCAACCAGAAACAGAAUCACGAUUAGAAUCAAAAACAGAAACAGAAGGAGAAAGAAGAAGUGUGCUAAAUUUGUUAGAGAGCUAUGUUGUUGUUCAUUCGGUUUUAGUAUGUCAGACUGUUCAUGUAUCCCAACUUGUUAGUCACUUUGUGUAUGUGACUCGUUUUUCAUUUUGUGUAUGUGACUCGUUAGUCACUUUGUGUAUGUGACUCGUUAGUCACUUUGUGUAUGUGACUCGUUAGUCACUUUGUGUAUGUGACUCGUUAAUCACUCGUUCUGCAUCUGUAUGCUUGUGUUUAUUCUCUUUGUGGAUGUGAAUUUGUUUAUAUUGGGGAAAACUGGACAGAUAUCGUGAAUGUUAUCACCUUUGUCAGCACCACUUGUAUGAUAAUAGACACAGAUUUUGCCCACUAUUUGUUGUCCUUGUCGUUGAUUGCCACAUACACAGCAGAAAUCUGACUUUAUAAUCAUUCCAUAUUGUUACCUUCCCAACCAUACCCCUAAACACCAUUUGGGAUCGUAACAACAAUAAUCAACAAACUCUAAAGCCUUUGAAAUUAUUCAGAAGUCCAUCAUAAAUCUGGUCAGGGAGGCUGUCAAGAUGCCCAAUAUAAGAUUCUUCAUAUGUCUGAACUACAGGUUAGAGUGAUAAGAUGGAAAUCAGUUUUAUUUUAAAAAAAAAUGUCCAAGGCUGGCUAAAGAUAUCAACAAAAUAUAUCCAAUCUCCCAAAACUAUGUGGAAUAAUGUUUUAUGGUCUGAUGAGACUAAAGUUAAACCUUUUGGCCAUAAAAGCAAAGGAAAUGUUCGGCACAAAGAAACCACAUCAACAGAAGAUCUCCAUCCCCACAGUGAAGCAUGGAGGUGGCAGCAUCAUAGUUUGGGGCUGCUUUUCUUCAGCUGGAACUGGGGCUUUAAUCAGACUGGAGGUAAUAAUGAAUAGCUCCAAAUACCACUCAGAUUUGGUGCAAAACCUUAGGGCUUCUGUUAAAACACCUAAGAUGAAGAGGAAUUUCACCUUUCAGCAGGACAAUGACCUGAAGCACACCCACAAAUCAACAAAGGAAUGUCUCCACCAAAACAAGUCCAGAUCCAAAUCCAAUCAAAAAUCUGUGGGGUGACCUGAAGAGGGCUGUGCACAGGAGAUCUAAAAUCUAAAGGUGCUUCAAAUAAGUAUAAAUUUAGGGGUGUGUCAGCUUAUACAACAAGGUUAUUGUACAUUUUUAUUUUUUUUACCCUAAACUAACUUUAAUAAACAAGUUGCAAUUUCACUAUAAAAAUGGAAAAGUUUCUGAUAUGAUUUUUCUUGUUUUCAUUUAUUACACAAAAACCCUGCAAUUUCAACGAGGUGUGUAAACUUUUUAUAUCUAUUACUUAUUUUUUUCUUUCUAUUUGAUUCCUGGAUUAAAAUGUAAUAUAUGUGAUAAGUUUAUAAAAUAUCAGCUUUUACUAUUA
This is a long non-coding RNA of Tachysurus fulvidraco (yellow catfish), 2141 nucleotides long. RefSeq lists it as uncharacterized. The transcript is spliced from 2 exons. Lineage: Eukaryota; Metazoa; Chordata; Actinopteri; Siluriformes; Bagridae. The record is from RefSeq and is a predicted model, not a curated record.